GGACGGUUACCACGGUGUGAUUCAUGACUGGGGUGAAGUCGUAACAAGGUAGCCGUAGGGGAACCUGCGGCUGGAUCACCUCCUUAAU
This 88-nucleotide ribosomal RNA is filed under the name Pseudomonas fulva. RNAcentral's name for it is "partial 16S ribosomal RNA". It matches the Rfam family "Bacterial small subunit ribosomal RNA", at positions 1448 to 1533 of the family's 1533-position model. The record is from RNAcentral. RNAcentral also lists the same sequence under 2 other names. Lineage: Bacteria; Pseudomonadati; Pseudomonadota; Gammaproteobacteria; Pseudomonadales; Pseudomonadaceae.